Corythoichthys intestinalis (scribbled pipefish) is the source of this 1238-nucleotide long non-coding RNA. RefSeq lists it as uncharacterized. The record is from RefSeq and is a predicted model, not a curated record. NCBI's taxonomy places the organism in Eukaryota, Metazoa, Chordata, Actinopteri, Syngnathiformes, Syngnathidae. The transcript is spliced from 8 exons.
GAAAUGGAGAUGCUAUGAAUACUAAUGGAGAAACUGCUCAUGCUAGCGCGACCAAGACUCAGACUAAAGAGAAACUGACGAGUUCCAGACUGCUCUAAUGGGCGAAUUACUUUGGGUUAUUCUGUGUGACACAAGACUCCGAUUGGUUUUUUUGAAUUGCUGGAUCUACAUCGGAGUGACAGCGUUGAUGUCAAGGAGGAUUCGGCCUGAUUCAAGGCGGGAUUGAAGACCACCAUUUUUCUUCAACUUCGACCAACUUUUGGAGCAUCACCCUGGGAGCAGAUAAGCUCACCUUCACUACAAAAUCUUUGAAACAAUAUACAGUCACACUACCCGGGUAGUACACACAUAUACUGAAUAGGAGAACGGACAUUGAAGCACGGAAGCAAUAGGCUGUGAAGGGACUAUUCAACCAGUCGCUCUUGCUCCUUGAGUCGAACCUACGUGUAAUAAGGUGUUCCAUUCUUAGCAGCACCAAAAGAGAACUACUGUGUUACACAUGUGUCAGGUGCUGCUUGCGUGCAUGAAUGCAUGUGUUUUAGCCGGAGACAAAAGGAUGAUUGGCACACAGUGGCACAAUAGUCAAGAGUCUCCAGAUAUGGUAUGUCAAGUUCUGCACCAAGGUGUAGAGUGGUUAGCAGUGCUGCCUGACAGCAAGAAGGCUGAUUCCAGCAUAACUUUGGCCUUCUAUGUGGCGGUUUGCAUGUUCUCCCAAUGCCUCAGAGGGUGCUCUAGUUUCCCUCUACUACCACAAACAUGCAAGGUUAAUUUCCAGUCGGCUUCGUUGACCAAACUGCUGACACAAGAUCUUAAUUCACUCCCUGGCCGUGACAGGGUUGCUGCCACUACUCCUCAGGGGGGAGAACAGGCCUGAAAUGAUGGAUGAUGGAGAACCAGGCAGAAUCUAAGGCCGCUACUAGGACAAUGCUGCACUACACUGGAUGACAAGCUAUUCAGGUUGAGAAAUGCCGUUCACUUCAAAAGAAAAGGCAUUUUGCAGGCAGCGCUCAUGUUGCACAUUUAUGAAAAUCUGCCAUAGAACCAACAAAUAUUUGUACUUUUCUUUGUAUAUUUAACCAGUAAAACUUAUGACCUUCAACAUAAAGUGUAUAUAGUUUUAUUAAGAUCCAUCAACUAGCAUGGGCAUUUAGAAUGGAGUCAACCAUAUUGGAACACCCUGUAAAUGCUUAACAAACUGUUAACAAAUACUUCACAAAUCAACAAUAAAUCAUUUAUCA